RNAcentral lists this ribosomal RNA (467 nucleotides) under uncultured bacterium. RNAcentral's name for it is "partial 16S ribosomal RNA". It matches the Rfam family "Bacterial small subunit ribosomal RNA", at positions 29 to 507 of the family's 1533-position model. The record is from RNAcentral.
ACGAACGCUGGCGGCGUGCUUAACACCUGCAAGUCGAACGGAAAGGCCCUGCUUUUGUGGGGUGCUCGAGUGGCGAACGGGUGAGUAACACGUGAGUAACCUGCCCUUGACUUUGGGAUAACUUCAGGAAACUGGGGCUAAUACCGGAUAGGAGCUCCUGCUGCAUGGUGGGGGUUGGAAAGUUUCGGCGGUUGGGGAUGGACUCGCGGCUUAUCAGCUUGUUGGUGGGGUAGUGGCUUACCAAGGCUUUGACGGGUAGCCGGCCUGAGAGGGUGACCGGCCACAUUGGGACUGAGAUACGGCCCAGACUCCUACGGGAGGCAGCAGUGGGGAAUAUUGCACAAUGGGCGGAAGCCUGAUGCAGCAACGCCGCGUGCGGGAUGACGGCCUUCGGGUUGUAAACCGCUUUCGCCUGUGACGAAGCGUGAGUGACGGUAAUGGGUAAAGAAGCACCGGCUAACUACGUG